AGGGAUAUUUUGGUCCCGAAAAUCCAUACCACCCCGCGUAUAUGAUCCCUUCAAAUAUGUAUCCAAAUCGAUAUCCGUACCAUUGGGGUAGCCAGGUUCACUUUUUUCUAACGUCGUGCCUAAUUGUAGCAUCUGCCAACUAUACCCUACCCUCCGUCGAGUAAUCUGGAGCGAUUCCAAGAUACCCCCCAACGCCCAAUUCAAUCAUCAACUUUGCCUGAUGAAAGUGAAAAGAAUAUUGCAAGUAUAUCACACAUGAAUGAAGUGGAUGGGAGUAAUGAAGUAUCAAAUGCGGAUGAGACUAAUGAAGUAUCGGAGGUGGAAGGGACUAAUGAAGUAUCGGAUGAUGAUGAUGAUGAAAGAGUUGAAGAGCCGAAAUCUGGUAUGGAGUUUGCCACUGAGAAAGACCUUCUCGCCUAUUACAAACAAUAUGUGAAACAGCCGGGUUUUGGUGUGAAGACAUUUAGGAUGAAGGGCAGAUGGGAGUGCAAAGUAUCUGACCAUUGGGUGUGCAUGUGGUGGCACCUACCAUCCUAGCCACAGUAAUGUCUCGAGGCCACGACCAACAACCAAAACAUAUUGUAAGGCAAAGGUAAAUGCGAAAUUGGUGAAGGGGGUAUGGGUUUUGACGACAAUUCAGAUUACUCACAAUCAUAGUACUGUAAGCCCACAGAAGUCCAGAUUUUUUAGAUCCCACAAGCGUUUAGAUGAAUACAGUCAGAAAAUGCUCGACUUGGAAUGACAGAGCAGGUAUUCGAAUGAACAAGAAUUUCGAAGCACUUGUUGUUGAUGUCAGGGGUUUUGAGAAUCUUGAAUUUCAAGAGAAAGAUGCACAAAAUUUUAUUAAUAAAGCCAGAUACUUCAGGUUAGGUAAAGGAGGUGGGGAAGCACUUAGCGACUACUUUGAGAGAAUGAGUAUGAUGAUUGAUGGCUUUGUUUCAAUCCUGGAAGUGGAUGAUGAGUACAAAGUCAGAAAUGUGUUCUGGGCUGACGCACGAAGUUCA
This is an RNA transcript of Juglans microcarpa x Juglans regia, 1004 nucleotides long. RefSeq lists it as uncharacterized. The record is from RefSeq and is a predicted model, not a curated record. NCBI's taxonomy places the organism in Eukaryota, Viridiplantae, Streptophyta, Magnoliopsida, Fagales, Juglandaceae. The transcript has 2 exons.